GAUGAACGCUAGCUACAGGCUUAACACAUGCAAGUCGAGGGGCAGCGGGAUUGAAGCUUGCUUCAAUUGCCGGCGACCGGCGCACGGGUGAGUAACGCGUAUCCAACCUUCCGCUUACUCGGGGAUAGCCUUUCGAAAGAAAGAUUAAUACCCGAUGGUAUCUUAAGCACGCAUGAGAUUAAGAUUAAAGAUUUAUCGGUAUGAGAUGGCGAUGCGUCCCAUUAGCUUGUUGGUGGGGUAACGGCUCACCAAGGCAUCGAUGGGUAGGGGUUCCGAGAGGAAGGUCCCCCACAUUGGAACUGAGACACGGUCCAA
RNAcentral lists this ribosomal RNA (315 nucleotides) under uncultured bacterium. Its description in RNAcentral is "bacterial SSU rRNA". It matches the Rfam family "Bacterial small subunit ribosomal RNA", at positions 28 to 334 of the family's 1533-position model. The record is from RNAcentral.